UACACCAACUACAGGGGCCAGAGCCAUAAACAGGCUAGAUUUAUUAAGUAUUAAGUAUUCUUUUUACUAAAAAAGGUCGAGAAAUAGCUAAACAUUUGACACACUGAGCUGAAAAGUGCAGGAGAAACAAAUGAAGAAGUCAUAUUGCUAGAGACUUAGCUAAAAGCUACAAAGCUACAAAGCUACAAGCUAGCGAAGACAAAAUGAGUGAAUACUAUGAAGGAGAUCUGAGCGUGAUUCAAGCUCUGAUAAGAUGCAGCAGAAGCCAUAAAAUCCUACAGUGUGAAGACGCCUGAACGCAGCAGGAUGAUAAUGUUUCAGAGAUGUGGUGAGAGGAGAAGGAAAGGACAGGACCCCCAGCUGAGACCCUUUAGUUCAAAAGAAGAUCUGAAAUCCGAUGGAGCUCUAACACGUCAAUUAUUCUUCUGCAUCAGAUGCACCAUAACCGGAACUCCAUUUUAACCCUACACCACAACCGUCUACCUAAACCUGACGUUGACCUCCUAAGAAAUACUCCUGCGACAGUUGACCUCUGACCCCUGCCGCCUCACAGUAAGGGUGUGUUUAUUUCCCUGGCUGACACUGCUGUGUCGGUUUCUAUUUUUUGUCACUCCUCCAACACUGCAACACGCACUCAUGAAAUCUGAGAAAUUAAUCAGUGCCAUUGUUCUUCGACUUCGGAACGUAACAUACCGCACUGUGUUUGUCUGUGUGUGUGAUUACACACUGUCAGCUUUCUCUCUGUUUGGUUUUGUUUAUACUGUGUUUUUCCUAUUUCUCAGGACAACAAACACAAGCACUCUUUGUCCCCGUUUGUUUGGGUAUUGUGUGUAUUUUCAUACUUUGCUGGCCUAAGUACAGCACAAGUAUUUUCUCUGCAGUAAACAAAAGCAAAACAAGCCCUC
This is a long non-coding RNA of Oreochromis niloticus (Nile tilapia), 905 nucleotides long. RefSeq lists it as uncharacterized. The record is from RefSeq and is a predicted model, not a curated record. Lineage: Eukaryota; Metazoa; Chordata; Actinopteri; Cichliformes; Cichlidae. The transcript has 4 exons.